This 497-nucleotide ribosomal RNA is filed under the name uncultured bacterium. RNAcentral describes it as "partial 16S ribosomal RNA". It matches the Rfam family "Bacterial small subunit ribosomal RNA", at positions 28 to 507 of the family's 1533-position model. The record is from RNAcentral.
GAUGAACGCUGGCGGCGUGCCUAAUACAUGCAAGUCGAGCGAACAGACGAGGAGCUUGCUCCUCUGACGUUAGCGGCGGACGGGUGAGUAACACGUGGAUAACCUACCUAUAAGACUGGGAUAACUUCGGGAAACCGGAGCUAAUACCGGAUAAUAUAUUGAACCGCAUGGUUCAAUAGUGAAAGACGGUUUUGCUGUCACUUAUAGAUGGAUCCGCGCCGCAUUAGCUAGUUGGUAAGGUAACGGCUUACCAAGGCAACGAUGCGUAGCCGACCUGAGAGGGUGAUCGGCCGCACUGGAACUGGGACACGGUCCAGGCUCCUACGGGAGGCAGCAGUAGGGAAGCUUCCGCAAGGGGCGAAAGCCUGACGGAGCAACGCCGCGUGAGUGAUGAAGGUCUUCGGAUCGUAAAACUCUGUUAUGAGGGAAGAACAAAUGUGUAAGUAACUAUGCACGUCUUGACGGUACCUAAUCAGAAAGCCACGGCUAACUACGUG